GGAGAAGUCGUAACAAUGUUUUUGUAGGUGAACCUACGGAAGGAUCAUUGUCGUCUUUAAAACCACCACCGGCGAACCAGUCCCGCGAGAACGUCGCUCGCGGUGCGCCGCCCGAGGGUCGACUGGGGACGCGCAUCCCGACGAGCUCCAAACAACAACCCUCUGGGCUCGGCGAGUGCCGAGGAAUCGAAGCGGAAAGGGUGGCCACCUCACCCGGCGUGAGUACACGCCCUGGCCGGGGAUGCAGCACCGCGGUGGGGAUCCGCCGCCCGUUUGUGAAUCUUUUAGACGACUCUUGGCAACGAAUAUCUCGGCUCCGCAUCGAUGAAGAACGUAGCGAAAUGCGAUACUUGGUGUGAAUUGCAGAAUCCCGUGAACCAUCGAGUCUUUGAACCYAAGUUGCGCCUGAGGCCACUCGGUCGAGGGCACGCCUACCUUGGUGUCACACCACCCAUCGCCCCCCCAGCAUUCCCAUGCCUCGCGGGGGAGCGGAGACAGGCCGUCCGUGCUUGGGUCAUCGGCGAGCGGUCGGCAGAAAAGGAGGACAUUGUGCAGCGUGACACAGUGUGUGGGGGUUGAGAGACGACUCGUCGCCAAUCGUACGUCGCGCCUGCAUUCCGCCGCGCGGUGCCACCCAUUGGACCAUACCUGCCCGCAGCCACAGGCUCUCGAACUGCGACCCCAGGUCAGGCAUGGCCACCCGCUGAAUUUAAGCAUAUCAAUAAGCGGAGGA
This 733-nucleotide unclassified non-coding RNA is filed under the name Cinnamomum jensenianum. RNAcentral describes it as "partial contains small subunit ribosomal RNA, internal transcribed spacer 1, 5.8S ribosomal RNA, internal transcribed spacer 2, and large subunit ribosomal RNA". The record is from RNAcentral. Lineage: Eukaryota; Viridiplantae; Streptophyta; Magnoliopsida; Laurales; Lauraceae.